RNAcentral lists this long non-coding RNA (75 nucleotides) under Dermacentor andersoni. Its description in RNAcentral is "uncharacterized LOC126541877". The record is from RNAcentral. Lineage: Eukaryota; Metazoa; Arthropoda; Arachnida; Ixodida; Ixodidae.
AAAAAAAAAAAAAAAAAAAAAAAAAAAAAAAAAAAAAAAAACUUUGAAAAAAAAAAAAAAAAAUUUUUUUUUUUU